Molecule: unclassified non-coding RNA, 689 nt
Organism: Rhipicephalus microplus (southern cattle tick)
Lineage: Eukaryota; Metazoa; Arthropoda; Arachnida; Ixodida; Ixodidae
Source: RefSeq, a predicted model, not a curated record
CACAGUAGUUUCGACAUGUGCGCAGCUGUGUGCGCUUCUCGGUGAAAUGGCAGCCUCCCGUCGCCAAGUUUUGAGGCUUUACAAGGAGUUGAUGCGUGAAUGUGGACAGUUCAAGAGCUACAUUUAUAGGUCUUAUGCAUUGAGACGUGUGAGAGAUGCCUUCAAGGAGCACAAGGCAGUGCAAGAUAAAGACGAAAUCAAUGAGCUUCUGGAUGAUGGAUUGAAAAACUUGGAAAUAAUCAAGCGGCAGGUGGUCAUCGGCAAGCUCUACAGGACUUCAGACUUGGUCAUAGAAAAGCAGUUUACAGCACAGCAGUGAUGACUCUGUAGAGCCACUCUUUUGUAUAAUUUUUGUAUAUUGUGUACUGUUCCUUCAUCCUGGCAACAACCCAUCCUGGUUUUUUCAACCAGAGGGUGUCAUUGCGAUCUGGACGACAGGGCCUUGAGGUUGCUGCUUCCCUGCGUACAAAAAAAUAUUUGGGCAACUUUUAGAGAUGGCAUAGGUUAUAGUAAAAGUUUGAAUAAAUAGUAGGACUUUGGACUAGGCUGUUGAGUUUAUAUUAUCUGUGGUAGCUAUGUAAAUAUGCUGGAACAGAGUUGCUGGUUCCGAAUGUCCUGAGUGUAGUUCAUACUAACUGCGGGUCCUGCAGACAUUCAUGAAGUGAAAGAAAAAAUAGAGUAUUUAUGAC